UGCAGUCGGGCGAUCCUUUUAUUGGCUCUGCAUUUUGACGCAAGGAGAAAUGCAGGAUCGGUUUUAGGAUAGCGGCAGACGGGUGAGUAACACGUGGGUAAUUUACCUCUAUAUUGGGGAUAGCCUUACGAAAGCGAGGGUAAUACCUAAUGUGUCCAGUUCUACUUAAGUAGAACUGGGUAAAGGCAUCCGUAAGGAUGUUGUAUAGAGAUGAGCUCGCGCCUUGUCAGCUAGUUGGUAGGGUAAUGGCCUACCAAGGCUUUUGACGGGUAGCUGGCCUUAGAGGGCGGUCAGCCACAUGGGGACUGAGACACUGCCCCGACUCCUACGGGAGGCUGCAGUCGAGGAUAUUUAGCAAUGAGCGAAAGCUUGACUAUGCGACGCCGCGUGAGGGAUGAAGGUUUUCGGAUCGUAAACCUCUUUCAAUGGGGAAGAAUAUAGACGGUACCCAGAGAAGAAGCCACGGCUAACUCCGUGCCAGCAGCCGCGGUAAUACGGAGGUGGCUAGCGUUACUCGGAUUUACUGGGUGUAAAGGGCAGGUAGGCGUCUCGAUAAGUUCUUGGUGAAAUCCUUCUGCUUAACAGAAGAACUGCCAGGAAAACUAUCGGGAUUGAGGCUAGAAGAGGAGAGUGGAAUUCUCGGUGUAAGGUUGAAAUCUGUAGAUAUCGAGAGGAACACCAGUAGCGAAAGCGGCUCUCUGGUAUAGACCUGACGCUGAUCUGCGAAAGCUAGGGGAGCAAACAGGAUUAGAUACCCUGGUAGUCCUAGCUAUAAACGAUGAGCACUAGGUGUUGGUCCUGAAUAAGGGCCAGCGUCGUAA
This 821-nucleotide ribosomal RNA is filed under the name uncultured bacterium. RNAcentral's name for it is "bacterial SSU rRNA". It matches the Rfam family "Bacterial small subunit ribosomal RNA", at positions 56 to 851 of the family's 1533-position model. The record is from RNAcentral.